GUGAGGAAUAUUGGUCAAUGGGCGGGAGCCUGAACCAGCCAAGUCGCGUGAAGGAAGAAGGAUCUAUGGUUCGUAAACUUCUUUUGCAGGGGAAUAAAGUGCAGGACGUGUCCUGUUUUGUAUGUACCCUGAGAAUAAGGAUCGGCUAACUCCGUGCCAGCAUCCGCGGUAAUACGGAGGAUCCGAGCGUUAUCCGGAUUUAUUGGGUUUAAAGGGUGCGUAGGUGGUUUGAUAAGUCAGCGGUGAAAGUUUGCAGCUUAACUGUAAAAAUGCCGUUGAAGCUGUCGGACUUGAGUGUAAAUGAGGUAGGCGGAAUGCGUGGUGUAGCGGUGAAAUGCAUAGAUAUCACGCAGAACUCCGAUUGCGAAGGCAGCUUACUAAGCUACAACUGACACUGAAGCACGAAAGCGUGGGGAUCAAACAGGAUUAGAAACCCUUGUAGUCC
Molecule: ribosomal RNA, 445 nt
Filed under: uncultured bacterium
Lineage: Bacteria
Description: partial 16S ribosomal RNA
Rfam family: Bacterial small subunit ribosomal RNA
Source: RNAcentral